CCCGGCUGCUAUAGAGCCGGGUUAGAGAGCGAGCGCCCGUCCGCGGGCGUCGAGGGCGGGUUGCCUCGCGCUGACCCUUCCCGCCCUCGUUACACACCAGGUCCCCGCGGAAGCGGCGGUGUCGGCGCCAUGGCGGAGCUGACGGCUCUUGAGAGUCUCAUCGAGAUGGGCUUCCCCAGGGGACGCGCGGAGAAGGCUCUGGCCCUCACAGGGAACCAGGGCAUCGAGGCUGCGAUGGACUGGCUGAUGGAGCACGAAGACGACCCAGAUGUGGACGAGCCUCUAGAGACUCCCCUUGGACAUAUCCUGGGACGGGAGCCCACUUCCUCAGAGCAAGGCGGCCUUGAAGGAUCUGGUUCUGCUGCCGGAGAAGGCAAACCCGUUUUGAGUGAAGAGGAAAGACAGGAACAGACUAAGAGGAUGUUGGAGCUGGUGGCCCAGAAGCAGCGGGAGCGUGAAGAGAGAGAGGAACGGGAGGCAUUGGAACGGGAACGGCAGCGCAGGAGACAAGGGCAAGAGUUGUCAGCAGCACGACAGCGGCUACAGGAAGAUGAGAUGCGCCGGGCUGCUGAGGAGAGGCGGAGGGAAAAGGCCGAGGAGUUAGCAGCCAGGUCUGGGCAGUGGAAAUGAUGGAUAGGAGAUGAGAAAGAAAUCAAGAUUUGCUUUGUUGAUGUCUGACCUAAUUUCUUCUUGUCUACAUUUCAGACAAAGAGUUAGAGAAAAGAUCGAGAGG
Molecule: small RNA, 733 nt
Filed under: Pongo abelii (Sumatran orangutan)
Lineage: Eukaryota; Metazoa; Chordata; Mammalia; Primates; Hominidae
Description: retained intron
Source: RNAcentral